AACGAACGCUGGCGGCAGGCCUAACACAUGCAAGUCGAGCGCGCCUUCGGGUGCGCGGCGGACGGGUGAGUAACGCGUGGGAAUAUGCCCUUCUCUACGCAAUAGUCCUGGGAAACUGGGGGUAAUACCGUAUACGCCCUUUGGGGGAAAGAUUUAUCGGGGAAGGAUUAGCCCGCGUUGGAUUAGGUAGUUGGUGGGGUAAUGGCCUACCAAGCCGACGAUCCAUAGCUGGUUUGAGAGGAUGAUCAGCCACACUGGGACUGAGACACGGCCCAGACUCCUACGGGAAGCAGCAGUGGGGAAUCUUAGACAAUGGGGGCAAGCCUGAUCUAGCCAUGCCGCGUGAGUGAUGAAGGCCUUAGGGUUGUAAAGCUCUUUCAGCUGGGAAGAUAAUGACGGUACCAGCAGAAGAAGCCCCGGCUAACUCCGUG
This 431-nucleotide ribosomal RNA is filed under the name uncultured bacterium. RNAcentral describes it as "partial 16S ribosomal RNA". It matches the Rfam family "Bacterial small subunit ribosomal RNA", at positions 29 to 507 of the family's 1533-position model. The record is from RNAcentral.